Molecule: ribosomal RNA, 490 nt
Filed under: uncultured bacterium
Lineage: Bacteria
Description: partial 16S ribosomal RNA
Rfam family: Bacterial small subunit ribosomal RNA
Source: RNAcentral
AGUGAACGCUGGCGGCAGGCCUAAUACAUGCAAGUCGAACGGCAGCACAGCAGAGCUUGCUCUGUGGGUGGCGAGUGGCGGACGGGUGAGGAAUACAUGGGAAUCUGCCCAGUCGUGGGGGAUAACGUAUGGAAACGUACGCUAAUACCGCAUGCGCCCUUUGGGGGAAAGCCGGGGACCUUCGGGCCUGGCGCGAUUGGAUGAGCCCAUGUUCGAUUAGCUAGUUGGCGGGGUAAAGGCCCACCAAGGCGACGAUCGAUAGCUGGUCUGAGAGGAUGAUCAGCCACACUGGGACUGAGACACGGCCCAGACUCCUACGGGAGGCAGCAGUAGGGAAUAUUGGACAAUGGGCGCAAGCCUGAUCCAGCCAUGCCGCGUGAGUGAAGAAGGCCCUCGGGUUGUAAAGCUCUUUUGUCCGGAAAGAAAAGCAUUCGGUUAAUACCCGGGUGUUCUGACGGUACCGGAAGAAUAAGCAACGGCUAACUUCGUG